UAUCUCUCCGUACGGGGAAGGAUGAGAAGCUUCGACUAAGGUUCGAUUCGAGCGCAGCGAUAAAGCGUUGCCGCAGGCAACGACCCGAAGGGCGAAGCGCGCAGCGCUGAGUCAUCCUUCCCCCACCACCA
This 131-nucleotide small RNA is filed under the name Salmonella enterica. RNAcentral's name for it is "RtT sRNA". It matches the Rfam family "RtT RNA". Rfam says of the family: This family represents a bacterial cis-regulatory element known as RtT RNA. The record is from RNAcentral. Lineage: Bacteria; Pseudomonadati; Pseudomonadota; Gammaproteobacteria; Enterobacterales; Enterobacteriaceae.